CCCUUAGAGUUUGAUCCUGGCUCAGAACAAACGCUGGCGGCGUGCCUAAUACAUGCAAGUCGAACGAUGUAGCAAUACAGAGUGGCGCACGGGAGAGUAACACGUGGAUAAUCUUCCUUUUAGUGGGGAACAACUUUCCGAAAGGAAAGCUAAUACCGCAUAAGACCACAGUGACUACGGUCGCAGGGGUUAAAGGUGGAACCUUCGGGUCUAUCGCUAAAAGAUGAGUCUGCGCUCGAUUAGCUAGUUGGCGGGGUAAUGGCCCACCAAGGCGACGAUCGAUAGCUGGUCUGAGAGGAUGACCAGCCUCACUGGAACUGAGACACGGUCCAGACUCCUACGGGAGGCAGCAGUAGGGAAUAUUGCACAAUGGGGGAAACCCUGAUGCAGCGACGCCGCGUGAGUGAUGAAGGCCUUCGGGUCGUAAAGCUCUGUUGUACGGGAAGAAAUGUUCAUGACUAAUACUCAUGAGUUUUGACGGUGCCGUAUCAGAAAGGACCGGCUAACUUCGUGCCAGCAGCCGCGGUAAGACGAGGGGUCCUAGCGUUGUUCGGAAUCACUGGGCGUAAAGCGUAUGUAGGCGGGCUUUUAAGUCAGGUGUGAAAUCCCAUGGCUCAACCAUGGAAUUGCAUUUGAAACUGGAAGUCUUGAGUGUGGGGAGAGAUUGGUAGAAUACCUGGUGUAGUGGUGAAAUACGUAGAUAUCAGGUGGAAUACCGGUGGCGAAGGCGGCCAAUCGGCCCAACACUGACGCUGAGAUACGAAAGCGUGGGGAUCAA
This 778-nucleotide ribosomal RNA is filed under the name uncultured bacterium. RNAcentral describes it as "bacterial SSU rRNA". It matches the Rfam family "Bacterial small subunit ribosomal RNA", at positions 1 to 771 of the family's 1533-position model. The record is from RNAcentral.